This 3370-nucleotide long non-coding RNA is filed under the name Triticum aestivum (bread wheat). RNAcentral's name for it is "long non-coding RNA (TAES_LNC008972)". The record is from RNAcentral. Lineage: Eukaryota; Viridiplantae; Streptophyta; Magnoliopsida; Poales; Poaceae.
CCAAAUCCCCCCAUCCCCCCUUCCUCGCGCCGUGCCCUUUCUGUUCGCCUCGCCGAGCGGCUCCUUUGCCGCCUCGCCGUCGAUCCCGUGGCCACCGGCCACCGUUCGCCGCACCGACUACUCUAGGAGGGCCGCCACCGUCUACUUCGUCCAUCCAGAGCAUCAAAUCGAGCGGAGCCGUCCCGUGCGCUCGCCAUCGAGCUCCUAUUCACCGCGUACAUCGCUGGCCGCCGUCGUCGAUUGCCUCGUCUCCGGUCCACCUCCAGCCUCCUCAUCGCUUUCGUUGGAACCAUCGUGAGCUCCUCUUCCAAAACCCCCUCUCCUCCUCUCGAUUUCGUCGCCGUAGCCGUCGUCCCCAAGUUUGUGGCCGCCAUGGCCGGAGCUCGAACUCCCGUGCGUGCCCGCGUUCUUGCUCCCCCGUGCCUGCGCCCCGCCCUGGCCUCGUCUCCGCGUGCCGCGGCGCGCCCGCAGCCACCUUGCCCGUGCUCGGCCGCAACCCCUGCUGCUCGCUGCUGCUCCGCGCGGCUGGCCGUGCCGUUCUGCCUACUGUACUGCUUGCUGUGUUGCUACUGCUCCUUGUUGCUUACCAUAGCUGCUGCAGCUAGAAUGCUGCUGUUGCUUACUACGCUGCUGCCAUAGCCGCUGUAGCUAGCGAUUAAGCCGUGCAAGGCCAUGGCCUGUGCCUUUGUGCAUGGCCGGCUAGCCCUAUGGAUGAGGCCGGCCACUUAGUUUAGUUUAGUUUGGCUAAUUAGUGAUUAGGUAUAACUAGUAGUCUAUGGUAUGUGGGACCUCCCUUGAUUAAAUUAGUUAGAUGUUUUAUUAACGCAUGUGGCAAUGACAUGUGGGCCACACAUCCCGUUGACCAGUCAUUUUUGACUCGAUCAACCCAACCCAUUGUCCCACCUGUAACACACACUAGUUAGCACAGCCCCAUAUGGCAGAAAUAUUUAGGUAUUAAUUUUCGAACUGAUUUAACUCACAAAAUCUUGUAGACUUUGAGAAAUUCAUAUAAAAUAAACCGUAACUCCGAUGAAAAUGUUUUCUACAUGAAAGUUGCUCAGAAAAAUCCAACGAAUCCGAAUACAGCCUCAGUUCGUCUAUGACACGUCCCUAGCAUAGCAAACGUUGAACUUUUCCCCUCUGGUUCAUCUGUCUGACAGACGUCCGGAACCGGGAAAUUUUCCCGGAUGUUAUCCUCCUUCGCCAGUAUCGCCUAGCGCUGCGUUAGAACAUCUCUAGCACCGCUUAUUGUCUUGUUAUGCUUAUGUUUGCGUGUAUUUACUGUUUCUUCCCCCUCUUCUUCUCCGGUAGACCUCGAGACCGCUGCUGAUGCCCCUGUGAUCGACUACGUCGACGACGAACCCUCCUUGCCAGAGUAACCAGGCAAGCCCCCCCUUUGAUCAUCCCGAUAUCGCCCAUUCCAUUCUCUCAUGCUUGCAUUAGAUUUUGCUACUGUUAUUGUUUGCUCCUAUUUUGCUGCAUAGCCUGUUUAUUAUAACCUGCUAUUGUUACCUACAUGCUUAUCCUAAACUGCUUAGUAUAGGUUGGUUAGAGACCCAUCAGUGACCCCCCACUUGACCCGACUGCCCCGCUGGAUUAUCAGAAGACUCGAUCAACGAGAUCGAAGACCAGGCCCCGACACCUCACGUCACAUCACGCCCCUUUGUUGCUCAACUCUGUAGAGUUACUAUCGAGUGCCGAGGGUGGAAUCUCAUACAUCACUCCUGAUGAGAUCUCUAUAGAGUAGCUAUUCGGUCGUGGUCAUCGAGGGUGAUUUCCUCCUUAACCACUUCCGAUACGGCUCUGUCGUGCAACCCCUCAAGUGUGAACCUCGAGGGUGGAUCCUCUUACGUUCACCUUAAUGAUUACAUCGAGUGGAAUUCACCGGGGGUGAUUCCUCGGGUUUUCCCCUUGAUGUUUGGACACACGGAUACUUGGACUUUACCCCUGUUACUUGGAAAGACGGGUCGACCCUGAGGGGUACCCGCGCGAGCUUGAUUGCGAGUGAUGUGGAGUCGGGUUGACCUGGAAGGUGCCCGCGAGAUAAUUACGAGGCGUGGCCGGGCAUUCCUAGCCCUUGCCGCAAGUCCUCGAGACGGGGCAACGGGGUCACAUCUUUCGUGAGUCUCUGCUUGUUACCGCGCAUUCCUAAUCCACUACGAUUUGGAUAUUUGAUCCGAGGGGCCUCUGGCCUGAUAGCACUAACCAUCACGUGGGCAUAGUAUGGGCGUUCUGCGUCGUAUACAUCAGCCGAAGCUUAUUAGACGUCAGCGACUGAGCGGCGCGCGCCGGGUUGGACUGGUAAGCUCCUGCCUUUUUAGGGAGGUAGCUAGGUCUGCUCACCGUCCGCCCUCGCAACGUGCAGGAGUUCCCGGGGAGAUGGCCCAUGACCCCUGGGGGCAUAGGUUUAGUCCGGCGUGCUGGCCUCUCUAUUAAGCCUAGGUCGGGUUGCAGCGUAUUGUUUGGCCGAGGCCGGGCAUGACCCAGGAAAGUGUGUCCGGCCGGAGUUAAUCGAGCGUGGUGGGUAAGUUGGUGCACCCCUGCAGGGAAGAAAACAUCUAUCGAUAGCCUGUCCUACGGUAACGGACACUUGGAGUUGUAUCCCGAUCGAUACAACUAGAACUGAAUACUUGUGAUGAGAACUGGAUGAUGACGAGAACUGGAUUGUGAUGAUAACUGGAUAGUAUGGCUCUGGGAUUGCUUUCUCGCAGGGAGUCGAGAAAGGAUCUCUGGCCGAGGUUGAUAACACUUCUACUGCCUUACUUUAUGCUUCUCUACUCACUCCUGUUGCUGCAAGAUGGUGGUUUCCAGAAGAUGCUAGUCUUUGAUAGACUAGGCUUUUCCCUUCCCUUCUGGCAUUCUGCAGUUUAGUCCACAGAUACAACCCAUUCCUUUGAUACAGAUACAUACUAAGUUUAGAUCUGAUGUAAGUCUUGCGAGUACUUUGGAUGAGUACUCACGGUUGCUUUGCUACUUCUUUUCCCCCAUACCCGAUUGUUGCGACCAGAUGACGGAUCCCAGGAGCCAGACGACGCCACUGAUGACUACUACUACACGGAGGAUGCCUACUACUACGUGAAGACCGUAGACGAAUAGGAGUAGUUAGGAGGCUCCCAGGCAGGAGGCCUUGCCUUUUCGAUCGGUUGUUGCUUUUGUGCUAGCCUUCUUAAGGCAAUCUUGUUUAACUCAUGUCUGUACUCAGAUAUUGUUGCUUUCGCUGACUCUUGUGUUUACGAGCUUAUGUAUUCGAGCCCUCGAGGCCCCUGGCUUGUAAUAUAAAGCUUGUAUCAUUUUAAUUUGUGUCUAUAGUUGUGUUGUGAUAUCUUCCCGUGAGUCCUUGAUCUUGAUCGUACACAUUUGUGUGUAUGAU